GAGAGAGGUAUGCCAGCAACGAAGACUGCUAAUCUUCGCCACCUUGGGUUGAAUCCCAAGGCUCACUCG
This 69-nucleotide transfer RNA is filed under the name Menticirrhus americanus (southern kingcroaker). RNAcentral describes it as "tRNA-Ser". The record is from RNAcentral. Lineage: Eukaryota; Metazoa; Chordata; Actinopteri; Sciaenidae.